RNA transcript from Lethenteron reissneri (Far Eastern brook lamprey), 4080 nucleotides. It is a transcript of the gene named cilia- and flagella-associated protein 36-like, with no coding region annotated. The record is from RefSeq and is a predicted model, not a curated record. NCBI's taxonomy places the organism in Eukaryota, Metazoa, Chordata, Hyperoartia, Petromyzontiformes, Petromyzontidae.
UGGGGGGAGAGAGGUGGGGGAGAGAGGUGGGGGGGAGAGAGCGAGAGAGGUGGGGGGGGGAGAGGUGGGGGGAGAUAGAGAGGGAGAGAGACGGCAGCCGCAGCAGGCGUUAGUGGCACGGGACCUGAGCAGUGGAGGGACUGAGUACAAGAUACCAACUCGGAGCGGCUCGCAGGACCCUAAUAGCUCAGGGGACCAAAGAGACCAAGAGCUGGCACAUCACAAAACGACGAGGACCUCGGGAAAUAAUCAAGGAGCAGAGGAGCUCAGGGUCCCGAGAGCUUCACGAUCUGAGGACCAGGGUCUUGGAACCCCGUAAAGACGAAGAGGUCACUGAAGGGAACCCAGGAGUCGAGGAGACCAGGAAGAACGAGCCAGGACUACUUGGACGGAUGCCGUGACAAAGAGGGUGCGAGUUGGACGACUUCGUUGCUGCUUCGCGCUGGCGAGGAGGAGUUGGGUGGCGUGGGUGUCCCUGGGCAUGAGGGUGGCAGCAUGAGCGACUGGGUGGUUGACAGCGUGGUGGGGUUCUUGCAAAGCCCGCUGUGGGCAGACCCCGUGAUGGGAUUCAUCGAGCACAGGUGCACGGUGUUCGAUCCAGGAGAGGAGAAUAAACUUUCGUACACGGACAUCCACAGGGAGUACAAGGAGCUGGUGGAGGGUCUGCUGGAGAGCUACCUGCAGGACAUGGGCAUCUCGGAGCAGCAGCUGCUGGAUGCGUGCAGCGCCCAGAGUGUGCAGUCGGAGCACCUGCACCAGGUCUUCGAGCCCGUGCUGGCAGCAGACGACUUUGAGCUCUUCAAGGGGCUCAUGGUGCGCAAGAACAUUGAGCUGGAGCUGCAGGCGCUCAUGCACCUGCAGGAGCAGAAGGGCGUGAUACCCGAGUGCAUGAGCGUGGACGGAUUGGACAAGGCAGGAGAGCUGGACCGGGAAGAGAUGCAACUUCUGCAGGAGGCGAUCAGGGCGUCCAAGCAGCAGUACGAGAUGGAGCAGCGGUGGAGGAGGUCGUGCAUCCUGGAGCCCGGCACCACGGAGGAGCAGGAGGAUGAAGAGCCAUGCAGAGAAGGGCGACCUCUGCUACAGGGCUCCAUCCAUCAUCAGGUCAGCGAGUGCUGCGCGGACGUGCCGGGCCCGAGCGGUCGACGCUGUUCUGACGUUGCGGACGAGCCGCCUGGCGCGACGGGCCCAUCCCAGCACCAGGCUGCCGGUGCGUCAUCUGCACCAGCAGCGCGGCAGGACGUCCCGUCUGUGCCUGGCGGGAGUCAAGCAACCCAGCCGCCUCCACACCAACUCCCCUCCGAGCCGCCAGGUGGGAUGAGCGCGGAUGCGGUGGCCCAGCAGCGGCAACAGCAGCAGCCCCGUGCGAGCCAGCCCAACGGGGCGGCCCUGCCGGGCAAGGCCCAGGCCUCUAAGCUCCACGAGACGAGGCCCAAGGAGGCAGCCGUCUCCCUGAAACACAACCUGUCUGCGGAAGAGCUGCGGAGCAGGGAGGAGUACCUGAGGCAGCAGCGGGACCGCCUGCUGGCGGCAAAACGCGAGCAGCUGGGCUCGUCGCAGCGGCAGGCCAGCGCCGUCUCCAACGACCGAAAGGCGCCGGGUCCCGGCAGGGCGGACGCGUGCACGGCCGGCGGCUGCGGCGGCGACGGGGACGCUCCGCGGAGAGGCCCGUCGGCCACGGGCGGCGCUGUCGCCGAUCGGCCGGGGCCGGCAGCCACGGCCACGGGGAAACAGACAGGAGAUGGCAGCACAGCAAGCGGGUUCGUUGAACCCGUCUGUGCAGCAGAUCAGGACCUUCCUGAGGAGGUGUUGAGACUCGGCGAGGCCUUCAUGCUCGAGUAACUAAAGGGCGCUGUUGUUGCAAUCCAGAGGUCGCCGGUUCGAUCUCCCGGCCCUGGAGUAUAAAACGAUGGAUCGCUCUCCAACACACCGGGCGCACGCACGGAGGAGUCGCAGACGCUGGAGCAGAGGAAGAGGGUGGCUCACAAGCUCAAGGAGGAGCUGCUCCAGAAGAAGUGAGCCAGCCCCCCUCCACACUCUGGACUGACGCUCGCCAGCUCAGGGUGGCCCGUGCCGCCCACAGCGGUGCGUGUACGGCCGAAGGCGUUUGCCUUCCGUGACGCAGUACACUACACGUGAUGAAAAAAACAUAUAUAUAUAUAAGAAAUCGGUCAGUAUAGGAAUAACAAGCGAUACAGACACACCUUACUUCAUAAUGUAAUGUUAAGUAACGUUCAUUAACGCCUCAUUCUUAUUAGUUUUUGUCAAUGUGAUGCCGGUAGAGGUCUUAGCGAGCUGACCGCGAAUACGGCCGGGGAUCCAUUCAUCGACGACUAAUCUUCUGCGUCGCUGCUCGACUGGAAUAGACAAGUCACACGCGACGAGCAGCCAGCAGGCAUAGCGAGCGGCACCCUCGCUGCGAUGUGCCGGUGUGCUGAACCGUAUCUUCCGGGUCAAUGACACGGAACAGACCCAGCUGGAUUUCAAGUUUGACAUGCAACAAAUAUGACCCCCCCAUUCCCUGGAUGCAUUGUGUUCUAAGAAUCAAUUGUAAUCGGUAGAUCCAGGUUUUAUUCGACCAGGGUUUCCCAAUUCCUGGCGACUCACCACGCUACGUCUUUCCGCGUUUACCGAAUUUACUCCCCAUUCAAGCACACGUGACUUGGUUCCACGCUGCUGCCCGCGUCCGAUGAUUGUCAAAGACGUCCCACGUGAUGCCGCUAAACAAUCAACGUUCUUGCAUUAAUAGAGCCGAUUCACGUUACAUUAAGAUCUCAGUGUGCACGUGUGGUGUACACGUAUUUCGUGUAUACACACACACACAAUACAUGUGGCGAGAUGUUAACUACCUCGCCUGGUAUACAGGAGGUCGUGGGUUCGAUUUCGACCCUGACGCCUGCUGCUGUAUAUUUGCAUGUGCUCCCCGUGGUCGCGUGGAUUUUUCUCCGGAUCCUCUGGUUUUUCCCUCCACAUUUAAAAACAUUUAGAGUAUUUGGCUGCUAUACAUGCCCACGUGAUGAUGAGCCACUACUUCGUUGAGCUAUCAUUUGUGACGGCCAGAUCGCUUCUGAAGAAGAGCUACAUAGCUCAAUGGGCCUCACCUGGUAAAACAAAAAUAGCAGUAAAGUGGUUCGUGUACGGGUACAGCACACGUGUUCCAUGUGACACAGCGUUAACUGCUUAGCGUGUCACGUGGGAUGUGUUUAACAACCAUCGGGCGCAUGCAGCAUGGGAUGCGUUAACCUGUUUUUGAAUGGUGGAGGAGUCAUUUGGUAAAUGCAGGAUGGCGAAGCGUGGCGGUGGGUCGUGAGGACUGGGGUCAGGGAAAUCCUGCAUUAGACCUUUUCAAAGUUAAUACCAUCACGCAGAGGUGGGACAAAGUCAUUGUUAUGCAAGUCCAAGUCGAGUCUGAAGUCAUCAAAUUCAUGACUCGAGUCUGACUCGAGUCCAAGUCACAUGACUCGAGUCCACACCUCAGAGGUGGGACAAAGUCAUUGUUAUGCAAGUCCAAGUCGAGUCUGAAGUCAUCAAAUUCAUGACUCGAGUCUGACUCGAGUCCAAGUCACAUGACUCGAGUCCACACCUCUGCCAUCACGUACCCAUUACUACACCAGUCGAUGACUCCCACUCGCGUCAACAGUCAACGAUUUGUUUAAUCCAUAGUUAAAGGUUUUUGUUGGGUUAGAUCGCAUAAAUGUGUCGUUGAACCCGCCACCACCCGACACAGCCAAUUAGUAAGGUUUGUCACAUAAAUAGAACAUUUGUUUUAAUUGAUCGCAUUAACUGCCGAUGACCAUAUCUCGCCUGAAAUGCGCCCAAUCAUGUCAGAUCUUGGAAGCGAAGCGGGUGGAGGAGGUGGGGGUUUUUGGAGCCUGUCCAGUCAUUGGCCGGAUGACCACAACGCACAACACUGGGCACAGGUUGUCGUGGGACCACGUGGUUUACGCAGCGGAGGGCAGUACAGCAAGCCGGUCUGCUGUUGUACUGCGCUUCCACGAACUAAAACACGACGAACUAAAACACCACAAACUAAAACACCACAAACUAAAACACAACAAACUAAAACACAACAAACUAAAACAC